CCCUUAGAUGUUCUGGGCCGCACGCGCGCUACACUGAUGCAUUCAACGAGUCUAAAACCUGGUCUGAUAAGGCUGGGUAAUCUUUUGAAAGUGCAUCGUGAUUGGGAUAGAUGAUUGCAAUUCUUCAUCUUCAACGAGGAAUGCCUAGUAAACGCAAGUCAUCAGCUUGCAUUGAUUACGUCCCUGCCCUUUGUACACACCGCCCGUCGCUCCUACCGAUUGAAUGAUCCGAUGAAUACCAUGGAUUGAGAGUACGAAUGGGUUCGCUCAUUUCUGCUGCUCGAGAAGUGGAGUAAAUCUUAUCAUUUAGAGGAAGGAGAAGUCGUAACA
RNAcentral lists this ribosomal RNA (330 nucleotides) under uncultured eukaryote. RNAcentral's name for it is "partial 18S ribosomal RNA". It matches the Rfam family "Eukaryotic small subunit ribosomal RNA", at positions 1470 to 1796 of the family's 1831-position model. The record is from RNAcentral.